Molecule: ribosomal RNA, 139 nt
Filed under: uncultured eukaryote
Lineage: Eukaryota
Description: partial 18S ribosomal RNA
Rfam family: Eukaryotic small subunit ribosomal RNA
Source: RNAcentral
UGGUGGAGUGAUUUGUCUGGUUAAUUCCGUUAACGAACGAGACCUCAGCCUGCUAAAUAGCUACGCUCAGGCAAUCUGGGUGGCCAGCUUCUUAGAGGGACUAUCGGUGUCUAACCGAUGGAAGUUUGAGGCAAUAACA